AUAUGACAGCUGGUUACACAAAGAAAAGGGGGUUGGGUUUGAGUGAAAGAGCGGGAAGACUGAAGAACAAAGGAAGAAGCGAUGUCUCUAUCGGGCCGUAGGCAGCUACUCUAUCGUAAAUACAGUAUUUUAUACAUUCUAAAUUACCACCCGUUUGGAAAAGGAAAAUGCAAUUAAUAUUUACUCUGAGCUACGCUUCGUUAGGUUGGUCGUAGAUGCUGGUCAUGUUGGCCAACAGAGAUUGUUCUGUCCUCGGAAGAAUGUCUCUGGUGGUAAAUUGGAUGUUGCAGUAACGUCAUUGUGUGGUAGACGUGAUACUCUGUCUGUUCUUUCCUAGCCCACGUUUGCAGCUGCUGUUGAUAACUGAACGGCUAGGAGGUAUCACUUCUGUAGCGAAUAAGAGUUCAAAGUUCACACUGAGGUUGGCUUUGUUCUAUAGUUAUUAUCUAAGCCCAAGUCCACAUUUUGUCACAUCAUCCAGAAUGCCACACUAAAUACAUUUGCUAAGAAAGUGAAUUUUGAUGUGGAGAAUCUGUUUAAGGAUAAAAUUGACUCCAACCAAACACGACAUAAUCUUUCUAAGACAGAGCAGGAUGCAAUUGAAUCAUUGUCCAAAAAUGAACAGAUUGUGGUUAAAAAAAGCAGACAAAGGUGGUGCUACAGUAGUGUGGAGUAAAGACAAAGGUGGUGCUACAGUAGUGUGGAGUAAAGACAAAGGUGGUGCUACAGUAGUGUGGAGUAAAGACAAAGGUGGUGCUACAGUAGUGUGGAGUAAAGACAAAGGUGGUGCUACAGUAGUGUGGAGUAAAGACAAAGGUGGUGCUACAGUAGUGUGGAGUAAAGACAAAGGUGGUGCUACAGUAGUGUGGAGUAAAGACAAAGGUGGCGCUACAGUAGUGUGGAGUAAAGACAUAGGUGGUGCUACAGUAGUGUGGAGUAAAGACAUAGGUGGUGCUACAGUAGUGUGGAGUAAAGACAAAGGUGGUGCUACAGUAGUGUGGAGUAAAGACAAAGGUGGCGCUACAGUAGUGUGGAGUAAAGACAAAGGUGGUGCUACAGUAGUGUGGAGUAAAGAGAAAGGUGGUGCUACAGUAAUGUGGAGUAAAGACAUAGGUGGUGCUACAGUAGUGUGGAGUAAAGACAUAGGUGGUGCUACAGUAGUGUGGAGUAAAGACAUAGGUGGUGCUACAGUGGUGGUGCUACUGAAUUGAAAGGGAUCCUCACAGAAACUAAGGAGAAUGGCUACAUUUCAGACAAGGAGUUCAAAUGUAUUUUCAAUGACAGAGAGAAACCAUCUUCUUCCAAAGGUCCACAAACAUCCUGAAAAUCGCCCAAACAGACCAGUCAUCAGUGAUAAUGAAGGUCUGACAGAACCCAUCUCUAAGUACAUUGAUUACUUCAUUCAGCCUUUUCUGACAUCACUCCCAGCCUAUCUUCAAGAUACUACAGAUGUGUUGAACAAAAUUAAGGAAUUGAACAAUAUAGGUACAGCUUCCUUUUUAGUCCCCAUAGAUGUAGAGUCUCUAUACACCACCAUUGAACAUGAACGAGGUUUGGCAGCUAUGCACCAUUUCUUGAGAACCCGACCUGAAACUGAGAUGCCUCCUACAGAAUUUAUUGUCUCACUGACUGAAUGGACUCUUAAAUCAUAACAUCGUUAUCUUUCAGGACCGUAUUUUUAAACAGGUUAAAGGAUGUGCCAUAUGGGAGCUUACAGCCCUUCCUACGCUGGUUUGUACUUGGGUAAAUUACUUCAUUUUGGAUCCUUCUAAUAACCAUUUCUUUGACUGGAUUAUAUGGUGGGGACACUAUAUUGAUGAUGUUUGCCUGUUUUGGUCCGGCUCAGAAGAUUAACUUAUUUCCUUCCACUAAUACCUUAAAAACGCUAACGGGAUCGAUAUGACAACAGCCAGUGAAAGUGCAGGGCGCCAAAUUCAAAACAACAGAAAUCUCAUAAUUAAAAUUCUUCAAAACAUAGAAGUAUUUUACACCAUUUUAAAUAUAAACUUGUUGUUAAUCCCACCACAGUGUCUGAUUUCAAAAAGGCUUUAUGACGAAAGCACGCCAAACGAUUAUGUCAGGUCAGUACCUAGUUACAGAAAAACACAGCCAUUUUUCCAGCCAAAGAGGGGAGUCACGAAAAGCAGAUAUAGAGAGAAAAUGAAUCACUAACCUUUCAUGAUCUUCAUCAGAUGACACUCAUUUGACUUCAUGUUAAACAAUACAUGUAUGUUUUGUUCGAUAAAGUUCAUAUUUAUAUCAAGAAAUCUGAGUUUACAUUGGCCCGUUAUGUUUAGUAGUUCCAAAACAUCCAGUGAUUUUGCAGAGAGCCACAUCAAUUUACAGAAAUACUCAUAAUAAACAUUGAUAAAAGAUACAACUAUUAUGCUUGGGAAUUAUAGAUACACUUCUCCUUAAUGCAACUGCUGUGUCAGAUUUCAAAAAAGCUUUACGGAAAAAGCACACCAUGCAAUAAUCUGAGUACAGCACUCAGACAACAAAACAAGCCUUACAGAUAUCUGCCAUGUUGUGGAGUCAACAGAAGUCAGAAAUAUCAUUAUAAAUAUUCACUUACCUUUGAUGAUCUUCAUCAGAAUGCACUCCCAGGAAUCCUAGUUCCACAAUAAAUGUUUGAUUUGUUCGGUGAAGUCCAUCAUUUAUGUCCAAAUACCUCCUUUUUGUUCACACGUUUAGCCCAGUAAUCCAAAUGCUCGAUCACGUAGUUCAGAUGAAAAGUCAAAAUAGUUAUAUUACAGUUCGUAGAAACAUGUCAAACGAUGUAUAGAAUCAAUCUUCAGGAUGUUUUUAAAAUAAAUCUUCAAUAAUGUUCCAACCGGAGGAUUCCUUUGUCUACAGAAUUGCAAUGGAACUCAAGCUAACUCUCACUUGAACGUGCGUGGUCAGCUCAUGCCUCUCUGGUAGACCUCUGACUCAAUCCCCUCUCAUUCCCCCUCUCCUUCACAGUAGAGGCAUCAAACAAGGUUCUAAAGACUGUUGACAUCUAGUGGAAGCCUCAAGAAGUGCAAUAUGACCCCAUAGACACUGUAUAUUCGAUUGGCAAAGAGUUGAAAAACUACAGACCUCAGAUUUCCCACUUCCUGGUUGGAUUUUUUCUCAGGUUUGUUUCUACCACAUGAGUUCUGUUAUACUCACAGACAUGCAAAAACAGUUUUAGAAACUUCAGAGUGUUUAUCCGAAUAUACUAAUAUACUAAUACUGUGCAUAUAUUAGCAACUGGGCCUGAGUAGCAGGCAGUAUACUCAGGGCACCUUAUUCAUCCAAGCUACUCAAUACGGUCCUUCUGUAGCUCAGUUGGUAGAGCAUGGCGCUUGUAACGCCAGGGUAGUGGGUUCGAUUCCCGGGACCACCCAUACGUAGAAUGUAUGCACACAUCACUGUAAGUCGCUUUGGAUAAAAGCGUCUGCUAAAUGGCAUAUAUUAUAUAUUUACUGCUCCCAGCUAUAAGAAGUUAACAGCAUUAACCCUAACAUCAACCUAACUAUGGAGCACAGCAAGGAUAACAGUGGAGAAUCUGCUGAAUUGGAGAAUCGCUUCUUGAAUGGAGGCUACAACGUUCAGGUCCUGAAAGAUGCAGGAAUAAGGGCUGGAUUACUUGACAGAGAGAACUUGUUGCAAAGGGGAGAGCCUCAGAGAGAGUGUAUUUUGUUACAAGAUACAGCACUGAAGCAGAGAACAUUAUUAAAAGAAUAAUUGGGGAAUCAUCCAAAGUGAUACGCUACUACGCCAAGUCUUUCCUGAGCCACCAGUCAUAAGCUUUAAGAGAUGGCCUACCCUUUAAGAGAUGUCCUACCCUUUAAGAGAUGGCCUACCCUUUAAGAGAUGGCCUACCCUUUAAGAGAUGGCCCACCCUUUAAGAGAUGGCCCACCCUUUAAGAGAUGGCCUACCCUUUAAGAGAUGGCCCACCCUUUAAGAGAUGUCCCACCCUUUAAGAGA
Molecule: long non-coding RNA, 3955 nt
Organism: Oncorhynchus keta (chum salmon)
Lineage: Eukaryota; Metazoa; Chordata; Actinopteri; Salmoniformes; Salmonidae
Exons: 4
Source: RefSeq, a predicted model, not a curated record